GUAGGCGGUGUCUGACGGGCCGGUUGGGGGUGUAAUGAACAAAGCUUAGUCCAGAAAUUGUUUGAAGGUGUUUGUAAUAUUGUUCAUGUUUAACAUAAGAAUCCACUAGACCUGUUUCAAUUAACCUGUGACUUAAGACAGUGUAGUUUUGAGCUGGAGUUUUGCGCAAACUGAGUUUGAUGCGGUCAUGCAUCUUACAAAUAGGGGAGGGGGUCUGCGGUCUCAGAGGGUUAGGGGAUUUAUUUUACUUUUCAUGUUUUUGUCACACCUUGCUCAGAGCUGACAGUUUUGUCAGCAAAAUCCGGUAGGGUACUCGAGACACGUAUGGGUUUCAAUAGUGAAGAUGGCUGAGCUUUCAAUCUUUUCGGUUAACAUCAGGGGGCUAAACGGACCGAUCAAACGAGCUAAAUUCCUGGACUAUUUAAGAAGGAAGAACAUAGAUGUGGCGGGCUACAUGCUGCUAUUCCCUAACCCUAACCCCUAACCCUAAUGGGCUCCCCAUUCAACCUGGGCUCCCUCAACUGCACAGCUUCCACCUGAAAUUUCAACCUUAAACAAUUCAGAUAUUCAAAAUUUUCAAAACACUUACAAGCUAGGCUGGACUAAGCCUAAUUUAAAUAAAUUUGAAUUCGAAGCACUUACCCAAUUUAAAGAGAAUACUGACAUUGUUAUAAAGCCAGCAGACAAAGGGAGCUCAGUGGUCUUGAUGGACAGGCAGGAUUACCUCAACUUAAUGACAGAAACUAUUAUAUUCCACUAGAUAAACCUAUAUAUAAGGACACUAUUCCUUUUUAAUUGAAAAAAUUAUACAAUCAUUAUAUGACAAAAAAAUUAUUAACAAAAAACUUACCUCCUGGGCAGCAAAGAACCUUGAAUGAGACUUUUUUUUACAUCCUACCAAAGAUCCACAAAUAGGCUCAGACUGGAGUGUACCCUUCAAAAUUCCUCCAGGGCGCCCUAUAGUCUCUGAUUGUGAUAGCGACACACGGCUGAAUUCAUAAAUUAUUAUUUAAAUCCCCUUUCCAAAUUACAUGAGAAAUACAUUAAAGAGACAUACGACUUUGUUGAAAAGAAUAAAAAGAUUAAGGUUCCCCCCUCUGCUUUCCUUUUUUCUCUGGAUGUGAAUAAUUUGUAUACAAAUAUACAAGCCAAUAUAAAUAUUUUCCAAAAGUACCCAAAAAAAAAAAAAAAAAAGACCAGACAAGGAGAUGCUGCAGUUGCUGAAGAUCAAUCUCACCAAAAAUGACUUUCAAUUUGAUAACCAUUACUUUCUUCAGGUUUGGGGAACAGCUAUGGGAAAGUUUUUCGCUCCCUCCUAUGCAAAUAUAUUCAUGUCAGAGUGGGAAACAGGGGCACUAGCUUCUUGCCAGAAAAAGCAACUACACUAUUUUAGAUAUCUGGACGAUAUAUGGGGGAUUUGGCAAUAUUCUGAAAAAAAGGAUUUUAAACUAUUUUCAACCACCCUCAAUAAUCCCAGACAAUCAGUCUCACUUAAAUACACACUUUGUGCAGAUUCUAUUGAUUUUCUAGACACUACAACUUUUAAGGGGGCAGAUUUUGCAGAGAAACUACAGUUAGAUAUCAGGGUCUUCUUUAAAGAAACCGAUACCUAUGCCUUAUUAUUCAGAAACAGUUUCCACCCAAAACAUACUUUCGCUGGAUUGGUUAAAUCACAAUUAUUGAGAUUUGAUAGAAUCUGCCCUAAAACGGAGGAUUUUAAGAUGGAGGUGAAAACAUCUUUUUCCUUCCCCACCAGCAAGGGGGAACACUUAUACCAUGCUCCGUAAAGCACUAAAGUACUUUAAAGAGACUAGACCAAUCUGUUUGGACCCUAUUCUACCAAUCAUCACUAAUUUUUCCUCAGCUAAUGUCAAUUUUGUGAGAGUGAACUCAGGAGGUAACAAUAUUUUUUUUAAAGGAUCAUAGAAUCAUUGCUGCCUUUAGAAAACAACAAAAACUUAAGUGAUAUCCUGGUGAGGGCAAAAUUAAGGACGGUAAGACGGUACACAAAGGCAGAGCACAAGGGGAUUUUUUCAGGCACUACAGAUUUGUGCAGAACCAAAGCAGUAAAGAGGUAUUUUGUACACAAAAAAACACAACUGUUUACUCAAAAAACUGUUUAUUUAAUCAGAUGCAAACAAUGUUCCAUUCAAUAUAUUGGGGAAUCAGGAAAUACAAUACUCACCAGAUUUACACAGCAUAGGUACUACAUAGGCAAACAAAAAAACGUACAUAUCGCUCUGGAUCGACAUUUUGUGGAACAUGGCUAGACAAACCUGAGAGCCACUCAAUUGGACUGUAAAACAGAGGAGAAAAACUGAAAGACUUUGGAUCACUAGACUGGGUACCCGGUGGCCCCGUCGUCUCAAUGAAAGGUGAGGUAGUCUGGAUUUGGCUCAUGUUUAUGGUUAGUGCAAUAAGUCUACCGCCUACGGCGUCAGAAUUCCAUUAUCUAACUCCUAAUGGAAACAAGAAUUGUCGGAGUGGUGGGACGUUUAAAAACAAUGGAAGUGCCGCCACUCCGACAAUUAGACGUCAAUGUCGGGGUGGGGGUAUGUCUGAAUGGAUGGCGGAACCCGAUGUGGCGCUCAUACAAGAGUCACACUUAUGUAAAAGAGAUGUAAAUCAUCUACAAAAUAAAUACUUUAAGGUUGCUGCCUCAUCUGGUGACUACAUCAAAACUAAGGGCUCCAUCAUAUUGCUGUCGUGGAAAUCUGCACUUACCGUAGACAAAAGCAGUAAAGACUCUUCAGGCAGGAUAUCUUAUAUAUGUACCACGAUAAGGAUUAGGAAAAUGGCCUUUGUCUUGGUAUAUGCACCGGCUACAUAUCUAACCAAUAAAUUGUUUUCUCUCAAUGAAUACUUUAUUUAAACCAGGAUAAAUCAGGGGUCAAUCACACGAAAGCCCAAAAACACAUAUCUGACAUGUUUGAAGCAGUUGUGGAAUCCCACCAUCUUACAGACAUGUGGAGGAUGCGCAAUCCUACUAGCAAGAAUUACACCUUCUUUUCCACACGUCACCUCACCCAUUCCCACAUUGAUUAUACUUUGUGCUCCAGUGAGCUUUAGGCAAUGUUCCACACGAUAGCAACAGAAACAACAAUUCUGUCUGAUCAUAAUGGGCUGAUAACCACAUUCCAUUGUGAUAUGUUAGGAGAAAGAUCUAGGAGAUGGCAAUUUAACAAUUCCCUUCUCCAGAACACAGCUUUUGAUACAGAGUUUAGAGCCAAGCUGGCGGAGUUUAUAUCAAUCAAUACUGGCUCAGUUUCGGACCCGGCGUACAUUUGGCAAGCCACCAAAGGAUUUAUUAGAGAUUGCAACGAACAAGACCCCCGUGACUCCCACGAGUACAAAUACAACUGCUGCGACUAUGUAGAAAAAGACUGGUGCGAUGACAAUGAAGGAGAAGAAGAGCCAGGAGACGAGUACAAAAGGCCAAGACUGCAUAGAAGAAGAAGAGGACCCGCACGAGGAUGAGGAGACGGUAAACAAGAAGGAGACGUUCAUCUCAUCGGUGUGGCCCUCGAUCUCAGCGCCGUAGCGCCGGAGAACGAGAAGGACACAAAGACCACAACUCCAGACGCACUACCGCUCCGCAGGGUUGGGGACCCACGUAGUACGCUGCCACGCGUGUCCGCGACAGUCUCCGUGUUCGACCUGUUUGUCACGCGGCAAAUGCGAGACAUCGUACUGGCCGCGACGAACCUCGAGGGCCUGAGGCAACUGGGACACGACUGGAAAGCAAUGGACGCGACGGACUUGUGCGGCUACCUCGGGCUGCUGAGGGCCAUUUUCCGCGCCACGAUGCCGAUCAAACAGUUCCACGAGUACUCGAGACUGCUGCGAUUCGACGACCGUGAGACCAGAGCCACCAGACGAGCCUCGGACAAACCGGCGGCCAUACGAGACGUGUGGGACGAGUAGGCACGGUGGCUGCCUCUCCUCUCCAACCCGGGCGCCGACGUGACCGUGGACGAGCAGCUGGUUCCCUUCCGAGGGGAAUGUCGUUGUCGUCGCGGUUAUUAUAAAUGUCGCGCCAUUUGUUUUCAGCAUGACAAGCUGCCAGAUCCCGCGACUGUGAAAGACAACAGCGGUUGUCUUUCAUAGUCCCUGUGCACGCUAAUAGAUUGAUGGGAUAGCAGCGCUGCAACGCUUCUGUGGUUUCGAGUGGUGCAUUCGCACGGAACCAGCGCCAGCCCACAGACGCUGUGCUACUACACAAUGUGCCUGGCCUGACUAGAGUUUGGUUUCUCCAGCGGCUGCUCAUCACAAGCCACACGGAGAGUUGUUAGUCAGACAGACUGACCGAGCGAGCCUGUCUGCACUGUAUGUAAUUUGCUGCCUCCGGAGCGCGUGUAGCUCGUGUCUAGGCUAAUUCGUUGGUUCUUCUCACCACCACCGUGGCACAAUUGUCUUGUGUGGGUGGUUUAUUUUUAAUGUUUUUCUUUCUCUUGUUUUUAUUUGUCUUCAUCUAUAUUUUCUUAUUCUUCUACUUCUUCCUCGACUGUCUUAUUGCUCUUCUUGUCGGUCUCUCUCCUCCUUCUCAUUCACAUCGUUUGACGACACGUCAAAAGACACCGACAACAAGGUCGAUGCUCCUUCCGCCUCUGCGACGCCGAGUCCAGCUACGCGUGGAACAUGCAGAUCUAAAUGGGGAAGCCCUCCGCCAGGGCGCCAGGGUGGUGCUAGGGUGAAGAGAGACAUGGCACAAUUGCAUAAUCUUGAAUCCUAUCAUUGGAGGAUAAGUCUGGGAGAGAAGUGGGGGCUUGGACUUGUUCCGUGGUAUGGAGUAACAUUUUUGGCAGGUCACAUUGACAAUAUUACCUAUACUUUGCAGGGCUUUGCAAAUGAAACGAUACAAUAUUGUUGUGAUGUUUAGUGUCUUCUUAUUAAUCAAAGGGGGAAAUGGAAUGUGAUUUGUAUCAUUUUUGAUAUUACUCUGUAUUUCCAUAUUAUCUUUAUGUUUGAUGUUUUAAUUUUCAUGUGUUUUGCAAAGAUACUGGUUGGUGUUUUCUUUUCUUCCAGAGUAUAUGGGGGAAUAAGCAGAAGGGAUUUAGAUACUCACAUAUGGACAAUAAAGAAUGGACUGGAGAAUUCUGAACAAGGAUACAGUGAUGAAAUGUUCAGAUUCCAUCGACACUACACUGAAAAUUGACACUGCGAAGAAGCUGCAGUGGACUACAUUCCUGUGGAUAUCGGGGUCUAGGCAGGGGUAGGUCCAUUGGACGGUGCGAUGGGUCGACCAACCUGAAUUUGGACAUUGUUUUGAUUUUGUUUUCUGAGGUUUUCACAUGUAUUUGCUUAAAUCAUAUCUCUACGUAAAUUGAUAAAGAUUUCUUUUCUAAUUGAGCUGGAGUACUAUGUGUGGCCGCCUCGGGCAGAGGGGCUGUGAGAGAAUUUUCCUGUCUAGAUUGUUUUGAUGGAUAUUUUGGAAAGACAGCUGCCGGACAGGUUUUUCACUCUCACACUCCAUAAAGUUGUUGUGUUGUUAAAAUCACACUACAAGGAACAUGUGUCAGAGAAAUUGUUCUUCUGUUGUAAUUUUAAACGUAUGUUUUACUCUCUUUGUUUUUCGAGACUUUAUUAAGUCUCGAAGGGUGGAAACAUGUGGUAUCUGGCCCUAUAAGUUUAAAGUCUGUAUAAAGCUCAAAUGUGCUGAGAAAUCAUGAGCACUGUGUUAGUGAUUUAAGUUCAAUGAUUUUCCUCUCCGCAGAGUGAUGUGUUGAAGAGGAUGUUCUAUUUGAUUCUGUGAGUAGGUGACUGAGUGGGAUCAAUGAUUUUAUGUGUAGUGUUGGAGCCCCCCAAAGAGACUCUGACCUCAAAAGGGACUUAGACCUUUACUUGCCAACUCACAUCUGUUUAUUUUAUGUUACCUAAACGUACCCCUUAUAACCCUGUUCUUGCUGCAGCAAGUCAGAGUGCAUAUUGGCGUUGUACUCUCCGGGUUCUGCAGGACUCGUCAUUGAUGCUGAAAAACUUGAUGUAAUAAAACCUUUAUGAUCAA
Long non-coding RNA from Perca flavescens (yellow perch), 6004 nucleotides. RefSeq lists it as uncharacterized. The record is from RefSeq and is a predicted model, not a curated record. NCBI's taxonomy places the organism in Eukaryota, Metazoa, Chordata, Actinopteri, Perciformes, Percidae. The transcript is spliced from 2 exons.